RNAcentral lists this ribosomal RNA (34 nucleotides) under Rhizobium sp. Aei-5. RNAcentral describes it as "partial 23S ribosomal RNA". Lineage: Bacteria; Pseudomonadati; Pseudomonadota; Alphaproteobacteria; Hyphomicrobiales; Rhizobiaceae. RNAcentral also lists the same sequence under 1 other name. The record is from RNAcentral.
GAUCAAGUGAAAUAAGGGCAAUUGGUGGAUGCCU